Molecule: transfer RNA, 66 nt
Filed under: Euphyllura phillyreae
Lineage: Eukaryota; Metazoa; Arthropoda; Insecta; Hemiptera; Liviidae
Description: tRNA-Met
Source: RNAcentral
GAAAUAUAAGCUAAUUUUAAGCUAUUGGAUUCAUAAUUCAAUUAUAGAUAAAAAUCUUUUUUCUAA